This 459-nucleotide ribosomal RNA is filed under the name uncultured bacterium. Its description in RNAcentral is "partial 16S ribosomal RNA". It matches the Rfam family "Bacterial small subunit ribosomal RNA", at positions 338 to 795 of the family's 1533-position model. The record is from RNAcentral.
CCUACGGGAGGCAGCAGUGAGGAAUAUUGGUCAAUGGCCGGAAGGCUGAACCAGCCAAGUCGCGUGAGGGACGACUGCCCUAUGGGUUGUAAACUUCUUUUAUAAAGGGAGAAUAAAUGCUACGUGUAGCAUGAUGCCUGUACCUUAUGAAUAAGCAUCGGCUAACUCCGUGCCAGCAGCCGCGGUAAUACGGAGGAUGCAAGCGUUAUCCGGAUUUAUUGGGUUUAAAGGGUGCGUAGGCGGUUUGUUAAGUUAGUGGUAAAAGGUCGGGCCUUAACCGUGAUUUGCCAUUAAUACUGUUAGACUAGAGUGCAGAUGAGGUAGGCGGAAUAAGUUGUGUAGCGGUGAAAUGCUUAGAGAUAACUUAGAACUCCGAUAGCGAAGGCAGCUUACCAGUCUGCAACUGACGCUGAGGCACGAGAGCGUGGGGAGCAAACAGGAUUAGAUACCCGAGUAGUC